This 252-nucleotide ribosomal RNA is filed under the name uncultured bacterium. RNAcentral's name for it is "partial 16S ribosomal RNA". It matches the Rfam family "Bacterial small subunit ribosomal RNA", at positions 524 to 776 of the family's 1533-position model. The record is from RNAcentral.
UACGUAGGUGGCGAGCGUUAUCCGGAAUGAUUGGGCGUAAAGGGUGCGUAGGUGGCACGAUAAGUCUGGAGUAAAAGGGAGCGGCUCAACCGCUGUUGGCUCUGGAAACUGUCGAGCUAGAGAGCAGGAGAGGGCGAUGGAAUUCCAUGUGUAGCGGUAAAAUGCGUAGAUAUAUGGAGGAACACCGGUGGCGAAGGCGGUCGCCUGGCCUGCAACUGACACUGAAGCACGAAAGCGUGGGGAGCAAAUAGG